Long non-coding RNA from Hyaena hyaena (striped hyena), 1017 nucleotides. RefSeq lists it as uncharacterized. NCBI's taxonomy places the organism in Eukaryota, Metazoa, Chordata, Mammalia, Carnivora, Hyaenidae. The transcript is spliced from 5 exons. The record is from RefSeq and is a predicted model, not a curated record.
ACAGCCUCCUACAGUAAAAUCUUUGUUGUAUUGUAAACAACUGCAAGAAUGUGUCUACAAGAGGAAACGGCAGCCAAAAGGCAGAUGUAAGCCCAAGGCCUAGAAGAUACUUUUCCACUUCAACUUGCUCUGAUCCCAGCUAACCACAGUUGCUCAGGUGAGAAAACUGAGGAAGAGUGGAUAUGAGGAUGUUGCCCAAGGUCAGAGGGGUCUGGCAUGUGAACUCAAGUGCUGACAACCAUUCUUUUUCCCACCCACUGAGGAUGUGUGGACCUUUUCAUUAUUUCUGAAUAUGAAUAGACAUUUUUUUAAAUGCAAAGCCUGGUGUAUGCGCCUGCCUGCAGGACCCAUUCUGUGCAGCGUGUGUGGGGAUGUGUCUGAGCGUCCAAUGCUGCCCUCAGUGCUCUGCUACCAACCUAUGUUUCUUUAUCAGCAGCCUCUUACUGGUGAGCCCUUGAUGGAGCGUGACAUCCUGUCUGUGCGUGAUGUAGAGCACAGAGCGUAUCAAGUGACUGCACUACACCAGUGAAGUGAAUGCUCAUGGUGUCCUAUGAAGACGGAGAAAGGUGGAUUCCUUUGCUAAAAGAUGGACUGAAGCCGGGUCAUGUUGACCAAGCGAUGUGAAAGUGAAGUCCUCAAGUUUACUGGUUAGCUGUGAAUAUAGUUUUGAGAUUCCUUGGAUCUUCUGCAGGAGAGUAUUGGAAAAUAGAAACAUAACUGCAUUUUAUCAGCAGGAAGAAGAGAGACUGGUCCUUGAGAAGCACUUUGAGUGUUUACAGUUCUUUCCUAAAGCAUGUUUUCAUUUAAAGUAAUGGGCAAUUUGGAAAAAAAAGUAUGGAGAGUGCUGUGUAAUUUAGUUACACCCAAGAAUUUAUUUUAUGGCAAGUCUCAUUUCUCUCUCACUGAAGUAUACACAAUUAGAGGCCUUCUUGUUGUGGAAGUACUUGUAUAAUUGAGUAAACAGGGAUAAAAAAAUAUAGGGGAUGUUAGGCUAACCUUUUCCCAGUCUUAUUAAAU